UUGCACCAUCUCUGCGAGAUGGUCGUGACCACCUUCAAGCUGCCUUGCCAUCCCUGCACAGACAGAUAAACCGAUCAAGCACAAUCUUGGAACCAGCCAAGAGUCGCAAGAGCACCCGCCCAUGGUUCCUCUUCUUGUCCCUAAACCCAAUCUCACUCAGUUAAACCUCUAAGUAGUGCUCUCUCAUGGAAGAAGUCAGGUUAUUAAAUGUACAAUAUAGUAUCGUCAAAAGAAUGUACAAUAUAGCAACCAACCAUAGGUGAGCAUGAAUCAUAAGAUUGCAUUCUUAUAGCUGGGUUGAUGUGGUUUUUCACCCAUUUGUUUAGCUACAGCAAUAUCAUCAGUGUAUAAGUAAAUGAUGCAUCUGGGCAAACCAACUCUUUAGGUAAGCUAAAUAUAUUGAAAAAAAAUCCAUGGAAAGCGUGCAUAUUUAGCAAGGAAAAGGAGUCUAGAGAGCCUUAGAUUCUUGUUAUGUGUUGAUUUGCAAAAUUUCUGCAGCUAUAUAUUUGCUCAAUCCAAAAGACAUUUUACUCAACCUUCAGUAUAAUGUAUUUCUAAUUGUUCAUAACUCCUGAAAUUUUUGUUAUGGUUUUGCAAGAUUUCGAAAGAAAAUGCAUGAAAAUAUAUUUAAGUUAACAAAUGGCAGCACAUUAUAUAUUAACCAAAAUACACUGGCCGUCCUAAAGCCAAUAUAAAAAACCAACUAAUAAACCUGAAAGUAGGAAUCGGCAUUGCAUUAAUAUCAGAAUCUAAUUGUUCAGGAAAGAAGCAAGUAGCUUGUGCGACUCUAACUAUGCUUUGUCUCUCCCUUUGCGAGUGUGAUACGUACUGAGCUAUGUUUAAAUAUCUACCAAAAAAGUAUGGCGACGACGAAGCUGAUACAAAAAAGGCCAGCAACUCCUAGUGCAAAUCACAACUACAAAAUGUUCAAACCAACUAUUUGCUCAGAUGUUGCAACCAUCCUGCACAAUCAGUACUUUGUACCAUACCAUGAAACACCUAUAUCCCGAAGAAUGAAAGCCAUUACCUUAAUAGGUAAGGCGACUAUUACAGGAAGGAACUUUACCUUGUACUUGGUUGGGCAGAUGGCUACAUAGCUAUUUCAUGCUUCUAAGUAGUUACACACGGUCCUUGUAGAAUAAUGCCCAAAAAAACAACUUCCAUGAACAAUAGGGAACACAACACAUACAGUAGCCUCAAAGCACUGUAGUUCUCUCUAAACUAAACCAUGCUCAUAGUAAGUAAAUAGAGGGGCACAAAAGGCAUACCUGCAGCAGAGCCAGAUCGCCGAGUGUCUCCAUUUUCUGAAUAUCCAAGAGAAAACGUCGCCAGUUUUUUUCCCGCAGACUCCCGUGUGCCUUUGGGACAGCAAAACAACCCUAAAGAUCGUAAUCAUAUUAUUUCAUGGAAGAAAUUUUUAGGAAACUAACAAGUCAACUCUUUUAAACACUUUCUACCUAGAGUCUAAGAGGCUGCAGAUAGCAAGUGAAACAAAACAAAAUCAAGCUGAAAUCAGACCACAAAACAUCGAGUUCGUGCCGAUGGCCAAAGUCCUGGCCGCCACCCCAUACACCAUGCCCGCGUACGUGUUUAUAGUGAGUCCACUAAUGCGAGCAUGCCGAUUAAACACAAGAAAACGUAUAGUACGCCAUUCUGUGAAGAAAUUGACUAAUGAAGGUCAUUGAAAAUUUGGUGGUAAGCACGAUCAUUCAGGCAGGACGCCGACGCACUCUCUCUUCCUCUCGAUGCCGCGCUCCUCGACAACGACCCGCCUCUCCCUCCUCUCAAAAGCCGGCCGGACGCCGACCUGGAUCUGCCUCAUCACCGGAAGCCGCCUCGAUGAGCUCCUCUUCCACUCUCGUGCGUGUGCUAGCUGCUCCCGCUUGAGCUACUGGUGUUGUGCUGCUGCUUGUGCUACUGUUCUGUUGUGCCAUGGAUGGGUGGUUCUGCUGAUACUAUUGGCUGCUGUUCUAAAAAAAUCAGUUUUUCAGUUGAAGCAUGUGUACAGUGGGCAGUCUAAUCUUCCAAGGGCAAGAGCCUAACAUAUUUUCAGAGAUGCGCAAUUCAGAUCAUGCAGUCACAAAUAAAUGAUAUGACAGUAAAUCCAUCCAAUUUGCUAUUCAAUCAUAUACCUUCCAUAAUGAUGUAUCCCCUAUUUUAAUCUUGCACUGAAAGUUACAUACAGUGAAUGACAUGUAUGUUUAUACACCAAGCUUAAAAUCUGAAAAGAGCAAAAAACACCAACAUUAAUUUGCAGAGACACACCUGCUUGGUCAACGACAUCCACGUCCACCUGGACAUCCUCAACAGGUACUCGCACACUUCCACCAUCUUGCACCCGGCGGUGAAGUGCAGUGCCCCAGCACCGUGAUUCUUGACAGCUUGCACCAUCUCUGCGAGAUGGCCGUGACCACCUUCAAGCUGCCUUGCCAUCCCUGCACAGACAGAUAAAUCGAUCAAGCACAAUCUUGGAACCAGCCGAGAGUCGCAAGAGCACCCGCCCAUGGUUCCUCUUCUUGUCCCUAAACCCAAUCUCACUCAGUUAAACCUCUAAGUAGUGCUAUCUCAUGGAAGAAGUCAGGUUAUUAAAUGUACAAUAUAGUUUCGUCAAAAGAAUGUACAAUAUAGCAACCAACCAUAGGUGAGCAUGAAUCAUAAGAUUGCAUUCUUAUAGCUGGGUUGAUGUGGUUUUUCACCCAUUUGUUUAGCUACAGCAAUAUCAUCAGUGUAUAAGUAAAUGAUGCAUCUAGGCAAACCAACUCUUUAGGUAAGCUAUUCUGACAAAAAAAAUCUUCUGGGGGAGACAACUAUUGGCACAUACCAGACUAAUUUACAACCAUAUCAUCAUCAGUAUUUAAGUAAAGGAUGAAUCUGCAUGACAAGGAAGCACCUCAUAGUGUCAAUCAGAAGUAUCACAAAAUAAUCAAAAGAAAGAUCAUAUGUAUAAUCAAUUAGUAGAAACGUGAUCAUGCUUAUGGAGCAAUGGGACCAAGAAAAGGAACACUUUCUUUAGUAAGUAUAAGUUUUUGCUAUGAAGCACCAUAUAACAACACAGAUACGACGAUAUGGAAACAAGCACAUAGGAUACGGCUUGUAAAAACAGCAGUACAAAGAUACAACAAGUAUAUAUGAAUAAUUAAUAAAAUAUGUAUGCAAAGAAGACAAUAAAUAAUCAAUGCAUGAGAUGAAAUAAGAUCAGAAUACUGCCCCAUUUGUUGACUGAAUGAUCAUUAAUUUCCCCAAUCAACAUAACUGAAUAUCUCCUGUGUCUUUAUGUCAUUGAACUUCCCUGGCCAGCAAAGCAGCAACAUCAACAGGUCAGCCACAACAAGCAGUUUACAAUAAACCAUGAUACAAGCAUUAUACAAAUAUAUAUACAGCAAAGCACCGGCAUCAGGCCAUCAGCGGA
RNAcentral lists this long non-coding RNA (3409 nucleotides) under Triticum aestivum (bread wheat). RNAcentral describes it as "long non-coding RNA (TAES_LNC006998)". Lineage: Eukaryota; Viridiplantae; Streptophyta; Magnoliopsida; Poales; Poaceae. The record is from RNAcentral.